RNAcentral lists this ribosomal RNA (960 nucleotides) under human gut metagenome. RNAcentral's name for it is "bacterial LSU rRNA". It matches the Rfam family "Bacterial large subunit ribosomal RNA", at positions 1956 to 2925 of the family's 2925-position model. The record is from RNAcentral.
GUAGCGAAAUUCCUUGUCGGGUAAGUUCCGACCUGCACGAAUGGCGUAACGACUUGGGCGCUGUCUCAACCAUGGACCCGGUGAAAUUGUAUUAUUCGUGAAGAUGCGAAUUACCUGCGGAAGGACGGAAAGACCCCGUGAACCUUUACUGCAGCUUGGCAUUGGCUGUUGGUGCGGUGCGUAGAGGAUAGGCAGGAGCCUGCGAACCGGGAACGCCAGUUCCCGGGGAGGCGCCCUUGGAAUACUGCCCUCACCGCAUCGGCAGCCUAACGCGCCGCCCUCAUCGGGGGCGCGGACCGUGCCAGGUGGGUAGUUUGACUGGGGCGGUCGCCUCCUAAACUGUAACGGAGGCGUGCGAAGGUUCGCUCAGGGCGGUUGGCAAUCGCCCGCAGAGCACAAGAGUACAAGCGAGCCUGACUGCGAGACCAACAAGUCGAGCAGAGACGAAAGUCGGUUCUAGUGAUCCGGCGGCCCAGCGUGGAAUGGCCGUCGCUCAACGGAUAAAAGGUACUCCGGGGAUAACAGGCUGAUCUUGCCCAAGAGUCCACAUCGACGGCAAGGUUUGGCACCUCGAUGUCGGCUCAUCGCAUCCUGGGGCUGUAGCAGGUCCCAAGGGUUGGGCUGUUCGCCCAUUAAAGCGGUACGCGAGCUGGGUUCAGAACGUCGUGAGACAGUUCGGUCCCUAUCCUCCGUGGGCGCAAGAGAAUUGAGAGGAUCUGUCCCUAGUACGAGAGGACCGGGAUGGACGCACCUCUGGUGCCGCAGUUGUCGACCAACGGCACAGCUGCCUAGCUACGUGCGGAACGGAUAACCGCUGAAAGCAUCUAAGCGGGAAGCCGGCCUCGAGAUGAGUUCUCUCUUCGGUAAGGCCACUUGUAGACCACAAGUUCGAUAGGCCGCAGCUGCAAGCCCCGCGAGGGGCUCAGGCGAGCGGUACUAAUCGGCCGAGCUCUUCAUCUC